RNAcentral lists this long non-coding RNA (667 nucleotides) under Numida meleagris (helmeted guineafowl). RNAcentral describes it as "lncRNA (ENSNMEG00000010165.1)". The record is from RNAcentral. Lineage: Eukaryota; Metazoa; Chordata; Aves; Galliformes; Numididae.
AGAGCAGUGAGCUGGCCCAAAGGGCGAAGAUGAUUUUGAUCCUCUGGAUGAGCAGGAGGUGAAGAAAGGCACAGGAGAAGUGUUAUAAAAAAUGAUGCACAUCUCUGGAGUGUGCCACUGCAUGUUUCCAGUACGAAAGGCCAGAGGAAGUGAGGACGUGACCUGUUGUGUGGCAGAAGCACUGCAAGAUCCAAAGACAUCGCUGCUGAUGGACAGCAAGAGGGAUGAGUCAGUGCUGCAUCAUCCUCUGCACUCUCCCAGCAUGGCAGCAGUGUGUGAUUCCAUCUCUGAGCGGAUGUCCCUGCUUGGCAGAGAUCUUCGUCUUCAUCCUAUCCUCUGGUCCUCCUCCAGUCUGAUUCUGGCAGCCCCAGGCUGUGCCACCGCGGUUACUGGAUGUGCCUUCCUGCUCUGCUCUCUGCACCACAGAGAUCCAGGCCUGCACCCAUACCUCAUUCCUAUCACCACGCAGGGGGAUGUGAGCAAAGCAUCCAGCUCCUCAGGCCCCUCCGUGGGCAAGACCACACAAAACCUCGGGACAGAGAGCCAGGCAAAAAGAUCUUCAUAUGAAUAUUGGACUAAUUACACACAGGCAAGAAAUUGGAUGAAAAGGUAUUUCUUCCUUCAGAAGCCAAGAAGAGAGUCCAAACGCUCUCACAUGAUGAGAUAA